GAUGAACGCUGGCGGCGUGCCUAAUACAUGCAAGUCGAGCGAACAGAUGAGAAGCUUGCUUCUCUGAUGUUAGUGGCGGACGGGUGAGUAACACGUGGGUAACCUACCUAUAAGACUGGGAGAACUCCGGGAAACCGGGGCUAAUACCGGAUAAGAUUUUGAAUCGCCUGGUUGAAUAGGGAAGGACGGUUUCGGAUGUCACAUAUAGAUGGACCCGCUCCGUAUUAGCUAGUUGGUAAGGUAACGGCUUACCAAGGCGACGAUACGUAGCCGCCCUGAGAGGGUGAUCGGCCACACUGGAACUGAGACACGGUCCAGACUCCUACGGGAGGCAGCAGUAGGGAAUCUUCCGCAAUGGGCGAAAGCCUGACGGAGCAACGCCGCGUGAGUGAUGAAGGUCUUCGGAUCGUAAAACUCUGUUGUUAGGGAAGAACAAAUUUGUUAGUAACUGAACAAGUCUUGACGGUACCUAACCAGAAAGCCACGGCUAACUACGUGCCAGCAGCCGCGGUAA
This 514-nucleotide ribosomal RNA is filed under the name uncultured bacterium. RNAcentral describes it as "partial 16S ribosomal RNA". It matches the Rfam family "Bacterial small subunit ribosomal RNA", at positions 28 to 523 of the family's 1533-position model. The record is from RNAcentral.